CACAGCUUCGGGAGGCUCUUUCCAAAGCACACAUCUGACCACGUGACUGCCCUGCUCCAGAGCCUUCCGUGACUCCCCAUUUCCGAGGGACGAGGUCUGGCCUGCUCCCGCCUGCCUCUGUGACCCCGGCUCAAUGCCCUAAAGCCUGAAUGUGCGGGUCACGACUGGCCCCUGUGAGUCCUCCGGGCUCAGCCUACCGAGGUCACGUCUGCAGGCAGCCUUCUGGGGACUCCUCACUGGGGGCCACCAGCCCGAGCUGCCCCUUCCCUGCAGGACCACGCCUGGCCGUCCUUCUCAGCAGCCGCGUCCGUCCCCACAGGCAGGUGGCCCCUCGAGGGCAGGGGCUGCGCGGACUCCCCGGCGGCCGAGCCGCGGGUCAGGUGGACGGGGAGGGAUGGGGGCGGG
This 405-nucleotide long non-coding RNA is filed under the name Homo sapiens (human). RNAcentral's name for it is "LHRI_LNC2005.1". The record is from RNAcentral. Lineage: Eukaryota; Metazoa; Chordata; Mammalia; Primates; Hominidae.